Molecule: long non-coding RNA, 761 nt
Filed under: Helianthus annuus (common sunflower)
Lineage: Eukaryota; Viridiplantae; Streptophyta; Magnoliopsida; Asterales; Asteraceae
Description: sRNA HanXRQr2_Chr17g0784871
Source: RNAcentral
UAUGAAUUCAAAUGAAAUAUCUCAUAAGCAUCAUAACAGGUCAUACCAGUUCGUAAGUGGUCACAGCUGAACUUAAAUCAGUUAGUCAGCCAUGUAUACACAGCAACAGCAACACUCAUAUGUAGCUAGGUUGUAUAAUCAUCAUAAUAAAAACGAACGCUAACAACAUUCAACUUUGCCAAUAUGGCAGCACAAAAUUCAAUCACUUACAUAGUUUCAGCUUCUUAAAGAACGGUGAAACAACAGAUUUAGGGUACGGUUUAGAAGCAAGACAAGUAGGAUAGUUCUCAGGUUGUUCAAUCCACAGCUUAUGAGCAAUGUUAUUGCUUGUAAGCUUCUCGGACAAGUUCUUUAACUGCACUUCUCCUUUUACUUCUAGAAAUUACCUUAUGCAUUGAAUCCAGAUUAUCAGGGCUACAAUAGUCAAUAAUGUGAGGAUCCUCUUUGUGUGACCAGAUGGCAGCAACGGAGGCAUGGCAGCCUUGAGUAACAACGCUACCUAACGGCCACGUGUCAAUCAGAUCUCGUCGGAGCACCACGUACUGCACUAGCACGUCGGAGGUUGGUUCGGAGUUCACGGCGGCGGCCGGAGACUCUGCGGCGUCGGUAGUGGAGGCCAUGGGAGCGGAGCUGCUGCGGCAAAUGUGGAGAUGGAGUGGCCUCCAGUACGACGUCGUUGGGUGGGUUUUGAAAGAUGUAAAAUGUGUAAUGAAACGUGGUGAGUGUAGAGUGGCCAUCGAUUUGUAAUUGUAGGUUGUGGU